This is a long non-coding RNA of Trichomycterus rosablanca, 749 nucleotides long. RefSeq lists it as uncharacterized. Lineage: Eukaryota; Metazoa; Chordata; Actinopteri; Siluriformes; Trichomycteridae. The transcript has 2 exons. The record is from RefSeq and is a predicted model, not a curated record.
GUAAAAAAUCCUAGAGCAGCUACGAGUCUCGGAAAAGUCGCUCCCGCGAAAGGCCUACCUCACAUCAGGAAGAUUCAAAAAUUUAUGUUUUGAAAAGCUUUUAUCACAUACACUUGGAAGUUGUUUCUAUAAUAUUUUACAUUACGUUUGUUAAUAUUAUACCUGUUUUGGGGGCGGUUUUUGACAUUUUGUUUAUAUUCCAUGGGACAAUGCAAGAAGCCGGGAACUCAAGUUAAAGCAAUGGCUGGACAGCAGACCACCGAUUUCGGCAUUCUGAUGGAAACCUGUUCACCCGCCGAGGUUAAGGAUUAAAAGUCGAGACUGCCGUGACAACGAUGCUGCUCCUGCCGGAUGUGACGGAACUGGAGUAAUUGCACCAAGAAUGACAAGAAAUCACUACAGACUUUAUUGAAGACUAGAGCGAAUAACAACUCUAUUAUUAUUUAUUUAUUUAUCUAUUUAUUACCAGUUAUAACUUUUAGAUAAUUUCAUUCUGUGUUUGUAUGCUUUGUGUAAAUCGUGUAUUCAUUUAAAGUAUCCUCCAGGCCACCCAAGAAGGAUGGGCCCUGCUGAGUCUGGUUCCUCUCAAGGUUUCUUCCUGUAAUUUUCAGGGAGUUUUUCCUUGCCACAGUCGCCCUCGGCUUGCUCAACAGGGGUUUUUGUAUCUGUUGGUCCUGGAUUUUGUAAAGUUGCUUUGAGACAAUGUCUAUUGUAAAAAGCGCUAUAUAAAUAAAGUUGACUUGACUUGA